CAAAGGAAGGGGGAGUAUG
RNAcentral lists this microRNA (19 nucleotides) under Monodelphis domestica (gray short-tailed opossum). RNAcentral's name for it is "mdo-miR-7297-3p". The record is from miRBase by way of RNAcentral. Lineage: Eukaryota; Metazoa; Chordata; Mammalia; Didelphimorphia; Didelphidae.